CCAAUGGCGUAUAUUAAAGUUGUUGCAGUUAAAAAGCUCGUAGUUGAAUUUUGGAUUCUUCCAAUUGGUCCAUCUUUUAGAUGAGUACUGGUUGUGUGGGGUCUAUCCGCCUGGUGAUACGUAAUGUCCUUUAUUGGAUGUUGCGGGUAGUCAGGACCUUUACCUUGAAAAAAUUAGAGUGUUUAAAGCAGGCUUAUGCCGGAAUACAUUAGCAUGGAAUAAUAGAAUAGGACGAAGUUGUUUUAUUUUGUUGGUUUCUAGGACAACCGUAAUGAUUAAUAGGGAUAGUUGGGGGCAUUAGUAUUCAAUUGUCCGAGGUGAAAUUCUUGGAUUUAUUGAAGACUAACUACUGCGAAAGCAUUUGCCAAGGAUGUUUUCAUUAAUCAAGAACGAAAGUUAGGGGAUCGAAGACGAUCAGAUACCGUCGUAGUCUUAACCAUAAACUAUGCCGACUAGGGAUCGGGCGAUGUUGUUUCCAUGACUCGCUCGGCACCUUAUG
This 499-nucleotide ribosomal RNA is filed under the name uncultured Glomeromycotina. RNAcentral describes it as "partial small subunit ribosomal RNA". It matches the Rfam family "Eukaryotic small subunit ribosomal RNA", at positions 591 to 1092 of the family's 1831-position model. The record is from RNAcentral. Lineage: Eukaryota; Fungi; Glomeromycota.